UACAGAGGGGGCAAGCGUUGUUCGGAUUUACUGGGCGUAAAGGGCGCGUAGGCGGCGCGGUAAGUCACUUGUGAAAUCUCUGAGCUUAACUCAGAACGGCCAAGUGAUACUGCAGUGCUAGAGUGCAGAAAGGGCAAUCGGAAUUCUUGGUGUAGCGGUGAAAUGCGUAGAUAUCAAGAGGAACACCUGAGGCGAAGGCGGGUUGCUAGGCUGACACUGACGCUGAGUGCGCGAAAGCCAGGGGAGCAAACGGG
RNAcentral lists this ribosomal RNA (254 nucleotides) under uncultured bacterium. Its description in RNAcentral is "partial 16S ribosomal RNA". It matches the Rfam family "Bacterial small subunit ribosomal RNA", at positions 524 to 776 of the family's 1533-position model. The record is from RNAcentral.